Long non-coding RNA from Papaver somniferum (opium poppy), 893 nucleotides. RefSeq lists it as uncharacterized. NCBI's taxonomy places the organism in Eukaryota, Viridiplantae, Streptophyta, Magnoliopsida, Ranunculales, Papaveraceae. The record is from RefSeq and is a predicted model, not a curated record. The transcript has 3 exons.
GAAGUGACAAGAUCUAAGACCCAAAACCAGUUUGCAUCUUGAACCGUCAGAGCUGCACAUCAUCCAACGGGAUCCCCAAUAGAUGCAUCAAAUCUUGAUACUCCUGCCUAUCACCCAAGCACCUCAUAUCUUCUUCCCCUACUCGAACAUAAGCCAAUCCAAAUGCACCUUCAUUGCGUUUUCUUCUUCUCUCCAAACUUCUGCAGAACAACCAUCCCAUCUCCAUCAAUCACCCCCGACCUCCUCUGAGCUCAGGCAACCUAUCAGCCACCCUAUGCAAUCAAUCAACCUCCUAGUCUCUAUCUAUUUCUAUCAUAGCUUCUUCUCCAAAACAGUAACCCUAGAAGCUAUGAUUCAGAGAGAUAUAGUUAGGGUUAUCUUCGAUAGCUAAAAGCAAACAUCAAAUCAAGAGUGCAGGUCUGAAUUGCAGAGGGGGUUUGUCGGGAAAACGCGUUUUGAGUACCUGAAGCUAAAUUACACACUCAGGGAAGAAAAGGAAAGGAGCAGGACAAUUUGUGGAAGUGCCUAAACCCGGUUUUAUACCCGCGGUACUAAAUAAAGCUUGGAUGAUUGGAGAAGCCAACAGAGCAGAGAAUUGGUGAUGAUGGAAGAGAGACAACAAAGACUCGCGCUAGAAGGCAGUGAAGAAUAUCUUUUGCACCUCAUCCGCAAGUGAAGAAUGUUGCUUUCACGUCUCAAAACUAUUUGAGCUUUGAAGAAAACAUAGUCUUAGAAGUGACAAGAUCUAAGACCCAAAACCAGUUUGCAUCUUGAACCGUCAGAGCUGCACAUCAUCCAACGGGAUCCCAAUAGAUGCAUCAAAUAUGGAUACUCCUGCCUAUCACCCAAGAACCUCAUAUCUUCUUCCCCUACUCGAACAGAAUCCAAGCCAA